AUACGGAGGGUGCAAGCGUUGUUCGGAUUCACUGGGUAUAAAGGGUGCGCAGGCGGUCUGAUAAGUCAGAGGUGAAAUAUGUCGGCUCAACCGGCAAACGGCCCCUGAAACUGUCAGACUUGAGUCCGGGAGAGGUAGGCGGAAUUCCAGGUGUAGCGGUGAAAUGCGUAAAUAUCUGGAGGAACACCGGUGGCGAAGGCGGCCUACUGGCCCGGAACUGACGCUCAGGCACGAAAGCAUGGGGAGCGAACGGGAUUAGAAACCCCAGUAGUCC
RNAcentral lists this ribosomal RNA (274 nucleotides) under uncultured bacterium. Its description in RNAcentral is "partial 16S ribosomal RNA". It matches the Rfam family "Bacterial small subunit ribosomal RNA", at positions 523 to 796 of the family's 1533-position model. The record is from RNAcentral.